UACGUAGGGUGCAAGCGUUGUCCGGAAUUAUUGGGCGUAAAGAGCUCGUAGGCGGUUUGUUGCGUCGGCUGUGAAAUCCCGAGGCUCAACCUCGGGUCUGCAGUCGAUACGAGCAAACUAGAGUGUUGCAGGGGAGACUGGAAUUCCUGGUGUAGCGGUGAAAUGCGCAGAUAUCAGGAGGAACACCGGUGGCGAAAGCGGCUCACUGGAUCGAAACUGACGCUGAGGUGCGAAAGCUAGGGUAGCAAACGGG
RNAcentral lists this ribosomal RNA (253 nucleotides) under uncultured bacterium. RNAcentral's name for it is "partial 16S ribosomal RNA". It matches the Rfam family "Bacterial small subunit ribosomal RNA", at positions 524 to 776 of the family's 1533-position model. The record is from RNAcentral.